Molecule: long non-coding RNA, 2279 nt
Organism: Vidua chalybeata
Lineage: Eukaryota; Metazoa; Chordata; Aves; Passeriformes; Viduidae
Exons: 8
Source: RefSeq, a predicted model, not a curated record
GAUUCCCCCUCACGCCUAUGACGUCACCGCGCUCCCAUUGGCUGCCGGCGGGAGGGCGGGGCUUGCCCAGCCUAUAAAAGGCGUGCGUGGGUGCGCAGAGCUCAGUUCGGGUCCGGCGAUGGGAGCGGCGGCAGCAGCGGAGCCCUGGGAGCACCCCAGAGCCAACACCGGCCACGGACGGCGUCCAGCAGCGGGGAAUGCCCAGGGGUGAGGACACCGACAGAGCAUCCGCGGGGCAGCGAGCAACGAGAGCGGCCGAGCAUCGCCCCGGAGCGAGGACCACGGAACCGGGAGCACCACGGCGACCCAUGGAGCAUCCCCCCGGAGCAGCGGUGAAGACGGUGCUGGGAUCGGGCGGGACCUCCGCGGGCCCUACCGGAGCAUUCCCCACUGGUAAUGUGUUUUCCCAAAUAGCCUAGGAAUCCCCAUGGAGCACCAAGAGAGUGGCGGAGUAUCGGCCCGGAGCGAGGACCGCGGUGUCGGGAGCAGCACGGAGAGCGGCGGAGCAUCCCCGGGGUGAGAAGGCAGGACAGCGACAGAGAAUCCCCGAGGCAGCGAGCAGCGAGAGCGGCGGAGCAUUCCUGUGGGCAGUGGUGAAGACGGUGCUGGGAUCGGGAGGAAGCUCCGCGGACACUAUUGGAGCGUCUCCCCAAGAGCCCUGACGAUCACCCCUCGCCCCUAUGACGUCACUGCGCCCCCCAUUGGCUGCCGUCGGGAGGGCGGGGCUUACCGGGCCUAUAAAAGGCGUGCGCGAGCGCACGGGGCCCAGUGCGGGCCUGGUGAUGGGAGCGGCGGCGGCAGCGGAACCCCGGGAGGGCCCCGGAACCGACACCAGCCAAGGACAACGGCAAGCGGCACGAAAUGCUCCGGGGUGAGGACACCAACAGAGCAUCCCCACGGCAGAAAGUUCUGAAAGAGGCCGAGCAGCGCCCCAGAGCGAGCAACAUGGAACCGGGAGCACCACAGCGACCCAUGGAGCAUCCCCCCGGGGCAGCAGUGAAGAGGGUGCCGGGAUCGGGCGGGAGGAGCACGGACAACCACCGGAUCAUCCCCCACAGGGUAGGAAUCCCCACGGAACAGCGAGAGCUGUGGAGCAUCCCCGGGGUGCGAAGGGAGGACACCGACAGAGAAUCCCUUGGGUCAACGAGUGCCGAGAGCAAUCCGAGCAUCCCCGUGGUGAGGACGACGGUGCCAGGAGCAGCACGGAGAGUGAGAUAGCAUCCCCCGGAGGGUACGGAUCCCCACGGAGAGCGGCGGAGCAUCCCCGGGGUGAGAAAGGAAGACACGGACAGAGCAUCCCCCGGGGCAGCAAGCACCGAGAGCGGCCGAGCACCGCCCCAGAGCGAGGGACACGGAACCGGGAGCACCACGGGGACCCAUGGAGCAUCCACCCGGGUCAGCGGUGAAGAGGGUGCCGGGAUCGGGCGGGAGGAGCACGGACACCCACCGGAUCAUCCCCCACAGGGUAGGAAUCCCCACGGAGCAGCGAGAGCUGCGGAGCAUUCCCGGGGUGCGAAGGGAGGACACCGACAGAGAAUCCCUUGGGUCAACGAGCGCCGAGAGCGACCGAGCAUCCCCGUGGUGAGGACGACGCUGCCAGGAGCAGCACGGAGAGUGAGAUAGCAUCGCCCGGAGGGUAGAGAUCCCCACGGAGAGCGGCGGAGCAUCCCCGGGGUGAGAAAGGAAGACACAAACAGAGCAUCCCCCGGGGCAGCAAGCACCGAGAGCGGCCGAGCACCGCCCCAGAGCGAGGGACACGGAACCGGGAGCACCACGGGGACCCAUGGAGCAUCCACCCGGGUCAGCGGUGAAGAGGGUGCCGGGAUCGGGCGGGAGGAGCACGGACACCCACCGGAUCAUCCCCCACAGGGUAGGAAUCCCCACGGAGCAGCGAGAGCUGCGGAGCAUCCCCGGGGUGCGAAGGGAGGACACCGACAGAGAAUCCCUUGGGUCAACGAGCGCCGAGAGCGACCGAGCAUCCCCGUGGUGAGGACGACGGUGCCAGGAGCAGCACGGAGAGUGAGAUAGCAUCCCCCGGAGGUGAGAAGGGUGGACACCAACAGAGAAUCUCCCAAGGGCAGCGGCGAAAACGGUGCCAGGAUCGGGAGGGAGCUCCGCCGACGCUACCGGAGCAUCCCCCACAGGUAUUGUAUUUUCCCAAAUAGGGUACGGAUCCCCACGGAGAGCGGCGGAGCAUCCCCGGGGUGAGAAAGGAAGACACGGACAGAGCAUCCCCCGGGGCAGCAAGCACCGAGAGCGGCCGAGCACCGCCCCAGAGC